Heterocephalus glaber (naked mole-rat) is the source of this 1999-nucleotide non-coding RNA. The record is from RefSeq and is a predicted model, not a curated record. Lineage: Eukaryota; Metazoa; Chordata; Mammalia; Rodentia; Bathyergidae.
CCCUGCAUCUGCAUUUUUGUUCUGAGUGAAACAAGUGUACAGAAUUUGGCCUAAAUUCAAUCAGCUCUAUCUUUCAAUCUCAAAAUGCCUCCCGUGCAAUUUGUCAAAAAGAAGAAUUUUGGCAACAGCAUGUAAAACUCUUGAGAUCUGUAAUGAAGAACAUAAUCAGAGACAGAGGGAGAAAAAGCCGCAUUUUUUGCUAAUUGAAACUGGUAAACCACUGCGGGUAACUUAAAUGUGACAGAUCAAAGUCACUCCUAUUGUGAAUGCUAGUCCUUGUCACUGUGCUCCUGACAGCCUCUCCAUGACCUAGCACAGGUUUUUCUUGGGGAACAAGAUACAAAUCACACAAUGAAAUACUUACUGAGGACUUACACAGUGGUUGGCGGCCGAGAUAUGAAAAUGAGUCAAGCAAGAUUUUUACCCUCAAGAAGCUUAAAGUUCGGUGGAAAAAAUGACAGAGAUGUACAAAGGGCCCUAAUUAAAAACUGGCCGUACAAGUAUUAUGAUAAAUAAAAUGCCAGGGAUUAGAAAGGAGAAAUUUACUCCGACUCACGCCCUAGCGGAUCAGGGAAGGUGAGAAUGUAAAAUGCAAAAAUCGUAAAGGAGGAACACAUUACUGCAUUUCAGGGGAGAGGACGGACAUUUUAGGGGGAGGAAACAGGACACAUAAAAGGGAUAACCGAGCAAGUGAGCACCAUGUGUCCGAGACCCACAAGCAGUCUGAUGAAGCGGGACCAGACACAGUGUAUCAGACAGGGACAGGAGUGAGGAGGCAGCGGAGAUGCAGGCUUGGGCAGCCUCAGCUGGCUCGGUAUGAAUCCUGCUCCGCAGGCAGGGAGGAGCCACUGCAGGAAACUGAGCAGGGCUGUGACUGGUCAGAUGGGUAUGUACCCGAGAAAGACCAGCUGGGGAACAAUGGUGUCUCAAAGAGGGCAGGAGCAGCAGGAAUGUAAAUGAGAACUGACUGGGGGAUUUCAGAGGUGGAUUCCUCAGAAUUUAAAAUACAAUUAGGCAAAAGGAGUCAGAGGAGGAGGGGCCAGGCAAUGAUGUUAUCCAAGACAGAAAACACAAGAAAAGGAGUAACUGACUGAACGAUAAACGCAAGUGUGUGCAUGCACACAGCCGAGAAGAUGCCACAGUGGAACACUACGGCAAAGCCCAACAUUAUGCUGGAUGAAAGAAGCCAGUCACAAAGAUCACAUACUGCAUGACACACUUUCUAUGAAAUUUUGGAACAGGGAAUCCAUGGAGACGCGCUGGGGACUGCAGCGAGUACUGUACCUAAUAGGUUCAGGGUUUCCUUUGAGAGUAAGAAGAAUGCUGUGGAACUAGACAGAUGGAGAAGGGUCAUGGAACAAGGAGUGGAAAAUAUUCCCUAGAAGACAGAGCUGGAUGACCUCGGCCAUGAAGAACACUGCAAAGAAACGACUGGGCUUGUCUGGGAUUCUCUUCAUUCUCGAGUUGAAUCUGAUCUGACAGAUGUGGAGAUUAUUUGGGAAAGAACAUGGCUUCUCUUUCUGGAGAGCAAUUUUGCUGUUUUCUGGAUUAGUUCAGCAUAGACUGACUGAAUGCCUUCAAUAUGCCUUGUUCUAGGUGUGUUUGGUAGAGGUGCACAGUGGAGGAAGUCAGGCAAAACAGCAUGGCCGUGGGGAAAUGCAAGCACUCUGGAGUUCACUACCAGUGUUUUUUAGACUGGGAAGAAGGAUCAGUUUUUGGUUUAGUUUUAAAUUUGUAAUCUGUCGAGGAAUGAUAAGGGGUCUUGUUUGCAUGGCCAGUACACAGCUCCUGCCACCUGCAACUCACCGUGUGAACUUGACAGCAUGCCAGAUCGUUUCGGUUCUAUUCAAUGAGACAAGUCCAAACACCAUUCACUGGAUGUGAGUCAAUGUCAAGUUUCUAUCCAUGUCUUCAAAUGCCUACACAUAAUGUCUACACAUGUGAUGAGCAGCUCUGUACCAAAGAACAGUUCAUGUUCUGUGGAGUGAUUUAAAGCUAG